CCUUUCUGUUGCUUUGAUCACAGGGAAAGUUAUGCACCCUGAUCUCCAUCAUGGUGCACAAGUGAGAGGCAGAGAGAGGUAUAGACCCAAAUUGUCUGCCCCCUGAUACCAGGUUCCUGCUACACACUACAGGGUGUCAAAGAAGUGGGGAGAGCACUGCGGCAACCUACAUAUUUUGCACUGAACCCUGCAAACCCAAAGGGGGAAAUACCCUUAGGAUUCCAUGGUUUCUCUUUUCGAAUCCUCCAAAACAUGGAAUCGGUACAGAUUCAUCAGAAGCUGUGUCAUCCUGGAAGAACCAACCAUCUUUCGUAAGAGAAUGCCACCCACAUAGGGCAGGCUACAGGCCAUUCUGCUGAGGGGCUGGGGCAUGAGCUGUGAGCAGCACCACUGUCACGGGUAGAAGAUGCGGUUUUCUUCAGGAUAGGUGACUUUACUGAGGGGCAUCCUGUAGAUGUUGGCAUUUUUCGUGGUCACCAAGAGGAACAGUAGCGUGGCCAAACAGAAGGGCCAGGUACAAGCUGGCAAUCCCGCCUGAAGAGGAAGA
Molecule: long non-coding RNA, 547 nt
Organism: Hyaena hyaena (striped hyena)
Lineage: Eukaryota; Metazoa; Chordata; Mammalia; Carnivora; Hyaenidae
Exons: 4
Source: RefSeq, a predicted model, not a curated record